UACGUAGGGGGCAAGCGUUGUCCGGAUUUAUUGGGCGUAAAGAGCGUGUAGGCGGCCAGGUAGGUCUGCUGUGAAAACUCGAGGCUUAACCUCGAGAUGUCGGCGGAAACCAUCUGGCUAGAGUCCGGAAGAGGAGAAUGGAAUUCCCGGUGUAGCGGUGAAAUGCGCAGAUAUCGGGAAGAACACCCGUGGCGAAGGCGGUUCUCUGGGACGGUACUGACGCUGAGACGCGAAAGCGUGGGGAGCGAACAGG
RNAcentral lists this ribosomal RNA (253 nucleotides) under uncultured bacterium. RNAcentral describes it as "partial 16S ribosomal RNA". It matches the Rfam family "Bacterial small subunit ribosomal RNA", at positions 524 to 776 of the family's 1533-position model. The record is from RNAcentral.